GCGCGAGACCUCCGAUGAUUCCGAUGCGUUUGCCUAUGCCCGGCUGCGAACCGUUCGUUCUCAGUCCCAGCUGAACCACGGUGAAGGAAUUACACGCAAGUUUUGCCCAGUGACGAUCGCUUUAAUCCACGUGAAAGUGCACCAGCAGAGUGCUUCUAGAACCGGCAGUGAUACACGGUUUAGUUGAAUAGGUUAAAAGUGUUGGCAGAUAGAGAGGAACGCAAAGUUUUACCCCAGGAAGGCAGUAGGUGUGUUGGGACACAGUUGAAAAAGAAAGUAGUGGAAACAACCUUCACAUCAACCUUUGAGAAAGCAGACGUAAUGGCGAAGAAAGGGAAGGCUAAAAAUGGGGCGGCCACUGGCGAAGGAGAACAAGUGUCAGCUCCGGCACCGACCACCAACGCCCCAGCAGCUGAUCCAGCAAGACCCGCGCCCGCCCCAGUCAAGGAAGUUAAGGUUGAAGUGAAGCCAAGUGUGGCAGAGAAAACAUCGAACCCACCAGCUAACGGCACCGUCGAGAACGGUUCGGAAGUAAUCACCGGUGAGAAGAAGCGCAAACGUAGCCGCCGUGACCGUAAGAAGCCGUCGGCCGACGAUCCAACCCGCGAAAAGGUCCCGUCAAAUGCGACGGCGAAGAAGAAUCUGCGCAAAAAGCGCACCAAGCUGAUGCGAACCCUCGAGCAGCUGGAAGCUAGCCCGGCGGCGCAAGCACCCGCCAGCGACGGAACGCCAGCCCAAACGCCGGAAGAAAUUCGCAAGAAGAUCCAGAUCGUUGAAAGUCUGCUCGAAUCGCUGAAGGCACAAACGCAGGAAGAGCGCAAAAGGAUGGAAACGCUCAGGAAUGCGGCGAAAGCGGAGCUUAAGGAAGGACCGGCGAAGCCAGAGCCUCAACAGCCGGACAGCCCAGCGAAAGCAAAGCCAGCUUCUCCGAAGAACUUAACCACGGAACGGGCCCGCAAGGAGGGCGAAGUGAAAAAGCUCGCGAACGAAAAGGCUGAAAUUCAAAACGAAGCAAAGCGGCUGGCACAGGAAAAGGCUCGCAAGGAGCAGGAGAUGAAGAAGCUGAUCGAGGAGAAGGCAAAGAAGGACGCGGAAGCGAAGCAGCUGCACGAGGAGAAGGCGGCACGCGAGGCCGAACUGGCCAAGCUGACGCAGGCGAAAGCGCGCGUAGAGACGGUCGAGCAGAAGAUCAACGAGAUCGAUCAGAAGGUGCAGCAGCUUAAGGAAGCGGAUGAGGCGAAGGUGACCGCACCGGGCAGUCCGAAGCAGAAGAAGGAACAGCAGGCCCGCACGCGCAAGGAUUCGGAAUCGAGCAAGAAAAAGGAAGCGGAAGAGAAGGUGAAGAAGGAGGCGGAGGAGAAGGCAAAGAAGGAGGCGGCUGAGAAGGCAAAGAAGGAGGCAGAGGAGAAGGCAAAGAAGGAGGCGGCUGAUAAGGCCAAGAAGGAGGCUGAAGAGAAGGCAAAAAAGGAGGCGGCUGAGAAGGCAAAGAAGGAGGCCGAGGAGAAGGCCAAGAAGGAGGCAGAAGAAAAGGCCAAGAAGGAGGCGGCUGAAAAGGCAAAGAAGGAGGCCGAGGAGAAGGCCAAGAAGGAGGCGGAAGAGAAGGCAAAGAAGGAGGCGGCUGAAAAGGUCAAGAAGGAGGCGGCUGAAAAGGCAAAGAAGGAAGCGGAAGAGAAGGCUAAGAAGGAGGCGGCUGAAAAGGCCAAGAAGGAGGCUGAGGAGAAGGCCAAGAAGGAGGCGGCUGAGAAGGCAAAGAAGGAAGCAGAAGAAAAGGCCAAGAAGGAGGCGGCUGAGAAGGCAAAGAAGGAAGCAGAAGAAAAGGCCAAGAAGGAGGCGGCCGAAAAGGCUAAGAAGGAGGCAGAAGAGAAGGCUACGAAGGAGGCGGCCGAAAAGGUCAAGAAGGAGGCUGAGGAGAAGGCCAAGAAGGAGGCGGCAGAAAAGGCAAAGAAGGAAGCAGAAGAGAAGGCAAAGAAGGAGGCGGCUGAAAAGGCAAAGAAGGAGGCUGAGGAGAAGGCUAAGAAGGAGGCGGCUGAAAAGGCCAAGAAGGAAGCGGAAGAGAAGGUCAAGAAGGAGGCGGCCGAGAAGGCAAAGAAGGAGGCCGAGGAGAAGGCCAAACAGGAAGCAGCGGACAAGGCAAAAAAGCUAGCCGAAGAAGAAGCGAAACGGAAAACGAACGGUGAAGCAGUGAAGCAAGCGAACGGAUCAGCACCAACGACUCCAACGCAAGAAAAACCCGCCACUUCGAAGCAGGACACCAAUAAGAACAAUAAGAAAAACAACAAACGAACCCCAAAAAACAGUGUGUCGGAAGAUGAGAAAAACUCCACCAAAGUGACCGGUUCAAAAAACGUACAAAGCGGCGAUUUUGCCUCCUCUGCUGAACCCACCACGGUAGCAAAAUCGCAGGAAAGCCAAUCAGCCCCCGUGCCCGUCCAAAAGUCCCCGGAAGCUGCCCCACCUGGCUCUCCGAAAGCCUCCCCAAAACCCGCCAACGGAAAAUCCGCGGCCGCUCCGGUGAACGGCAAACAACAGACUCCGCCAGCCAAGACCCCAGAGAAGGCGCCACCACAACCCAAGACUGCAGCGGCACGUACCUCACCGCCAAAGACCACUGCCAAGGCUCCGUCGCCACCAAAAACGGCCCCAGCACCGGCACGAGCUGCACCACCGAAACCUAGCACACCACCCGCCACGAAGAAACCCGACCCACCGCCAAAGCCCGAAUUCCUCAAGAAGAAGUCACCCUCGGUGGAGAAGGAGAAGGUGACAGCUGUCAAGGCGGCACCACCGCAACAGGUACCCCCACAGACUCAGACCCCUGCAGCUGCUCCCUCCGCUCCUAGCUCAGCACCCGCACCAUCCACCACACCUGCCCCUCCAGUUCCUGCUCCUGCCACCGUUCCGUCACCUGCCGCCGCACCACCCGCCGAACCGACGGAAGGCGCCGCACGCCUAACCGAGGAAGCCCUCAACGGAGCGAAGAAACCUGCCACUGCUGGGGCCGGGUCGGCCAGCAAACCGAAACCGGUGCAGAAGAAACCGGAGGUGCCGCCGAAACCGGACGUCCACAGCAAGAGUGCCGCCAAAAUGAAGACACCGAUCAAGCAGCCGGGCGGCAAGAGCUCCACGUCUGAUUCCAGGUCGCCGGCAGCGGAGCUAAGUAGAACGGAAGCAUUUAAGAAAAACAUGGACAUUAUAUCGACCAUCGCGGACGUGCUGCUGUCCCAUUCGCGCUCGAAGAAGAACCGUAUCGCGGGCGCUUCGUCGUCCAACGCCAGCAAACCCACUAACAGUCCCUCUUCCUCCACUAGUCUCGAACCAUCAUCAUCAUCAUCAUCCCCCUCAGCAUCAUCGGCGUCACUCUUAUCAUCCCUAUUUCCAUCGCUUUCGCAAUCGCCCGGUAAUCCCGCCGCUAGCACUUCCCAUCAGGCUUCCCCAGCAGAACCAGCCCCGAAACAGAAGUCAAAGCUCGAUCUGGAACGCAUCCUGCGCAUACUGCAAGCCUCACAGCCAUCCUCUGGUGCGGCCGGCACAGAGUCCGGUCAAGCGACAGCUUCGCCAUCCACAUCUGGCACCAGAUCGGGCCAACCGUCUUCGUCCGGGCUAGAACCCUCGGAGAUGCUACCAUCCGGCACGGAUGGUGAUGAAAAUCCGCUCGGAUCGUUUCUAACCAAAGACGCCAUUCGUGCGUUGAUGCCUACCCUGCAGGAGGUGAACGUUAAGUUUAACGUGGAGAAGCAGCUGCAAGCGCUCAACGCAACGGCGGCGAUGGCCAAGAUAAUGCCGAAAACAUUGCCGCCCGGGACGGACACGACCGAGGAGGACGAGCUGGAAGAGGACCUGCUCGAUGAGGAGACGGAAGAUACGAUCGAGUACAAGUUUACACCGCGCCCGGUGUUUAUAGCGACCAUCUGUCAGGUGUGCAAGAACCCGCUGAAGAGUUUCUUCCACUGUGAACGCUGCCUGAUGGUAUCCUACUGUGGAGAUGAACACCGGCGCAUGGAUCAACCGUCCCACCGAGAACUCUGCGCGGUACUGUGUGAAAUUGCGGCUAAUAGAGGAGGACACAUUUACCAGCUGGCAAGGAAGCUUAACGUACAGGAGUAUCGCAAUCUGCGCGUUCACACGCUCAACCAGAUCGAACUAUCGCUGAAACGAUCGAUGCAAGCGUACGAGCGCGAGAUUGUACUGUUUCCACGCAUCUGCAUCACGCCAGAUUGUCGCGAAUGGAGACAGGAGCUGCUGACCGAGUGUACGGAUUGCCGACAGGUUUCGUACUGUACCGCAAAUCCAGCGCACCUGCAAGCUUCACAUCGCCGCUGGUGUAAGGCGUACCUGCUCUUCCAGAAGUUGAUCCUGCGGCAGCGCAUUCUCGGUCGGAUCGAACCCGUUCUUCCGGCACGUAUCCUCUCGAAACCGACCCCACUACCGGCUAACAUAGACGAAGCGUUCAAGCAUUUGUACAAAAACUCAACUGUUCCUCGGGAUGAAUGUGUGUACGCCGUACUGUCACAGAUAGCGACCGCUCCACUGUCCGCACUGUACGCGUACCAGCAGACGGGCCUACCGUUCGGCAGCACAUUCACGAUCCAUCUCGUCGGGGCCGAGCUACAGUUCGAGGGCGACACACUGGACAAGUGGGAAGCGUUCUUCCUUCACCUCGUACCGGAGGUCGCCGUACUGCGAGUGGUUUUCGUCGGUCCGGAACUGAACGUUGAGAAUCUGCCGAUCGACGUCAUCAGCCGCAUAAGCAUGCGUGAGUAUGGGUGAGAGAUUUACUGACAGCCGAAAGACAACAUGUCCAGGUAAGGAUUGAUAGCGAGCAACAGCUUCCACUAUUGGGGAACUGGGUAAGAAUGUGCCGCACCUGUCGCAUGAAGUGCCGCGUGGUUGCGUUCGAUUUCCAGUGUCGCACGAUGUACCACGACUAUCGGCACAGCUCCCGAUACCAACGACCGAACCUGAUCUGUUUCUUCAACCCCGGACUGCACCGUACCACCGGCUUUGCCGGGCUGGACAGCUGGCCAACAACGAUCCGUGCCGCGACCGAGCCAGGCUGCCCGAUGCUGGUGACGGCUUACACCGAGCUCGAAUCACCGCUCGAUCUGGAACGGCUGCAGCGUGAGUCGACGCGCACACUUCAGAUCGUGCAAGCACCGUCGGUAAAUCCGUUCGCUUCCAAGCGCCCCGAUCGCAACUUCAUCUCGGACGAUACGGCGCCGAUGAUCUUCAAGAACUACUACUACUUUGUGGUGAAGUAGAGGAGCAACACCCCACCAACUCGAAGUUUUACCAGCGGAAGCGUCCCCUACGCACCGUCGAUAUAAUGUUCAUGCACCACUUUCGUUUUUGCUUUUGUUUUUGAAUGCUUUUAAUUUCAUCUUUUCCACUCUCAACCUUUGACAUUGCGCGACCGGCCAGUGUCGCGAAACUCGUCGAAGAAUUUCCUUACUCGUACUUUUGCAACACACUUUACGAUGUGCAAUAAACCAUGUGUAUCAGUGAGUUAAUUUA
RNA transcript from Anopheles stephensi (Asian malaria mosquito), 5511 nucleotides. It is a transcript of the gene named axoneme-associated protein mst101(2)-like, with no coding region annotated. NCBI's taxonomy places the organism in Eukaryota, Metazoa, Arthropoda, Insecta, Diptera, Culicidae. The record is from RefSeq and is a predicted model, not a curated record. The transcript is spliced from 8 exons.